This 254-nucleotide ribosomal RNA is filed under the name uncultured bacterium. RNAcentral describes it as "partial 16S ribosomal RNA". It matches the Rfam family "Bacterial small subunit ribosomal RNA", at positions 524 to 776 of the family's 1533-position model. The record is from RNAcentral.
UACGUAGGCAGCGAGCGUUGUUCGGAAUUACUGGGCGUAAAGAGUGUGUAGGCGGUGCUCCCAGUCUGUUGUGAAAUCUCCCGGCUUAACUGGGAGGGUGCAGCGGAAACUAGAGUGCUAGAGGGUGGGAGAGGUAAGCGGAAUUCCUGGUGUAGCGGUGAAAUGCGUAGAUAUCUGGAGGAAUACCGGUGGCGAAGGCGGCAUCCUGGACCGGCAUUGACGCUGAGUGAGCGAAAGCCAGGGGAGCAAACGGG